GACCUGGUGGUGUAGAGGCAACAUUCCUCGAGAAUUGGCCAUGGCGUAUGUAUGAUUUCUGAGGAAGUCCCCGGUUCAAUUCCGGGCCAGGUUA
Molecule: non-coding RNA, 94 nt
Organism: Mycena maculata
Lineage: Eukaryota; Fungi; Basidiomycota; Agaricomycetes; Agaricales; Mycenaceae
Source: the annotation of a GenBank genome assembly